RNAcentral lists this unclassified non-coding RNA (1717 nucleotides) under Hevea brasiliensis (rubber tree). Lineage: Eukaryota; Viridiplantae; Streptophyta; Magnoliopsida; Malpighiales; Euphorbiaceae. The record is from RNAcentral.
CAUAUUUUCAUUAAUUUUGAUUUUACUUUUAUUUCAGAAUUUGAUUUCGAAUCGAAUUGUGGCGAACUAUUAUUUUGUAGCAUAUAGUUAUUUAUUUAUUUAUUUAGAAUUAGCGUAGUUGAAAAAAUCCUCUUCUUUCCACUUAAACCUUAGUCCUUAGUAAAUGUAUAUAGAAUGGAGGGGUAUUAAUUUGUAGGAUAGAAACUGUCCCCAAAGCCCAUCAUCAUAAUCAAAUUCUAUUUUGAAUGUGAACUUGCAGGAAAGAAAGAGAAAGGUGAGAUUCCAGGUAACAUAUGCAAACAAAACUGCCGUGGAAGGUGCUUUAAUAUCAAUAAAACAAACCCAAUCAAGCUUCCCAUUUGGAUGUGGCAUGAACCAUUACAUCGUGGAAAACGUAGAUUACCAAAACUGGUUUGCUUCAAGAUUCAGGUAUACCACUUUCACUAAUGAAAUGAAGUGGUACAGCACCGAGAAAAAACAGGGUCAGGAAAACUACACAAUUGCAGAUGCAAUGGUAAGAUUUGCCAAACAAAAUGGCAUUUCUAUCAGAGGUCACAACAUUUUCUGGGAUGAUCCAAAGUACCAACCAGACUGGGUUAAAAAUCUUUCUCCUAAUGAUUUACGAGAAGCUGCAGCAAAAAGAAUAAAUUCGGUGGUCUCAAGAUACGCAGGUCAACUAAUUGCUUGGGAUGUAAUGAAUGAGAAUCUGCACUUCAGCUUCUAUGAAGAUAAGCUUGGCGAAGAUGCCUCUGCAGAGUACUUCUCAACAGCUCACCAGCUUGAUCCUGGGACAAGAUUGUUCAUGAAUGAGUAUAAUACCAUUGAAGAUUGUACAGAUGAGGCUGCAAAUCCAUUUAACUACAAGAAGAGACUGGAGGAAAUUCUGUCAUAUCCUGGAAACCAAGGAAUUUUAGCAGGAAUUGGUGUGCAAGGCCAUUUCAGUUCUGACCAACCAAAUCUUGCGUACAUGAGAGCUUCCUUGGACAUUCUAGCUACAACAGGAUUGCCUAUAUGGCUUACUGAAGUAGACGUUGGCAGAGGCCCAAAUCAGGCAGAGUACUUGGAGCAGGUACUGAGGGAAGGCUACUCUCACCCUGGUGUUGAAGGAAUUAUCAUGUUCGUAGGCCCAGCAAUUGCAGGUUUCAAUGUUACAACACUAGCAGACAAAGAUUUCAAGAACACUCCAUCAGGAGAUGUUGUGGACAAGCUGAUUGAUGAGUGGAAGCCUAAGCCUACUGAAAUUAAAGCAGAUAGUGAAGGAUCCAUUGAAGUUUCAUUGUUUCAUGGAGAUUACAAUAUAACUAUUAAAGACCCAGUUUCCAAUUCAUUGACUAGGUGGAAUUAUAAUAUGAUAGAAGACGAUACAACAGGCACUGUUCAUAUUCAUAUCAAUGCUUGAAAUGAAUCAUCACCAUCUCAAAUUACAUAUAUUUGGCAAAUAAAUUGCCCUGUGUGUUUUCUUGGAAAACACCAUUGGAAGAUCACACCAUAACUUCUUUUUAAUCAGUGUUUGUAAGAGUGAAUUGAGCAAGUGUGGAUUGAAGAUUUUCAUGUCAUCUUUUGCAUCCAUUGAAGCUUCUGGAUAAAUAAAAACAACAAAAGCAAUAAGAAAUAAAGGGUUAGAAAAAUCUUUAAUAUUCAUAAACUCCAUAAUUUAAGUUUCUUUGAUGGUCACUAUUGUCUCUGUCAUAAUAAGCACGCAAAUCUAAGGCGCACA